GGCGGGACCCCGACACCUGCGGGGAGAGGGGGCGGCUCCCCAACCCUCCCGGGGGUCCCUGGAGCUGAAACCCCCCCGACACCCCCAUCCCUGGACCCGCGCAUCUGUUUUCCAUCAGAGCGCAUCAAGGUUCAGAAGGAAAGCUGAAAUCCAGCGGGGACUCAGCCCACUUUGGAGUGUGGUUCCACUGAAUGGAAUCUGGGAACAUCCACAGCUGGGAGGGACCCACAGGAUCAUGGAUCCAGCCCCUGUCCCGGCACAGGCACCCCAAAAUCCCACCCUGAGCAUCCCUGGGAGCGAUCUCUAAAUUCUCCAGGAGCUCUGGGGCUGUGCCCAUUCCCUGGGAGCCUGGGCAGUGCCAGCACCCCAUGGGGAAGAGCCUUGCCCUGACACCCACCCUAAACAUGCCCGGACACAGCUCCAGGCAUGCCCUCAGCCCUGUCCCUGUCACAGGGAGCUGUCGCUGCUGCACGGAGUGCCCUGUCCCGUGUCACACCAGGCCCACACGGCAGAGUUCAGUUCAGUUUUAUUUUCCACUGUAACGGAUUUCGAAUGAUACAUCAUGCAGUCUGCCAGUGUAUCCAUCCAUCUCCGACAGAACUUCAGCACGAAGAUAAAAGACUUCUCUCCACGGGCUGGGGGGAGGAGGAGGGUUCAGGUCUGCUAUCAAGAGUUUAAUACAGUUCAGCAUCAUUUGAUGCAAUGGCAAAAAAAAAAAAUAAAAAAAUUUCCCCUUGUUACCAGCAAAACGUGUCCACCAUUUAUUUAUCUUUUUUUUUUGUUUUGUUUUUCUCUUCUUUUUUUUUUUCUCCUAAAUUGAACACUACUGUAAAGAUACAUAGAGCCCAGAGAAUACACAUCUGCAGUACACGUUACACACUUUACAGACUAGACAGGGCUAACUCUACGCAGUGCCUCAGCCCGGGGGCCUCCAUCCCGCACAGCGGAUGGACGGCUCCUGCAGGCACACAGAGGACAAAACCAAAGCAAGGGGAGAUCCAGAUUAUCCUGCCCACUCCUUUCCCUCUGUGUCCCCCCGUGGAGGAGUACUUCAGGCAUGGUUAUGUGAGGUAUUUCUCCUCCAGCGAGGGGAAUCUGGUGAGCCCUUUUCUUUCGGACCUGCGUCGCUGUUGUUUAAACAGUUCUUCCAAUAAAACCAUGCUCAAAUUAGAAAUCUUGAUUUCGUUUAUUUUCCAGCCUUAGGGCAGGGUUAGACAGGAUAUUGGGAAGGAAUCCUGUGAGGGGGGGCAGGCCCUGGCACAGGGUGCCCAGAGCAGCUGUGGCUGCCCCUGGAUCCCUGGAAGGGUCCAAGGCCAGGCUGGGCAGGGCUUGGAGCAGCCUGGGACAGUGGAAGGUGUCCCUGCCAUCAGCUGUUCUAUAAAAUCCCUUCCAACCAAACUGUUCCAUGAUUCUAUAAUUUAUAAAGAUUUCAGACAAAUGUGCAUCUUAGUCCGUUAGGCUUUAUAAAGUGAAACUGAAAAGCUACUCAAGGCUCUGUGGGCGCGAAUUGUUGUAGCAAAAUUUUUUUGGUGACUUAUUUUUAAGUUUUCAGCAUCUUCAGGAUAAUCCAGCUCUCACCCUUGUUGAGUUUAAUACAAAACUUAAAAAUGCAUCAGCCAAGGUCUUUCCAAGCUUAAAACUUUCCUUGCUUUCCAGAAAACAAGUCGAUGAAACGUAAACUCAAGGACAAACACAGGAUAUUUGAACAUAUCAAUAAGAGAAGCUCAAGUGAGCCAGAAAUACUUUUCAAUUACUAGCAAAAAGAACAAUAUGCACUUUAGUUCCAUCUGAAAUCCGUUUUCCAUUUGGGAAUGGUAUUUCCAUCCCAGUUUGUCCCAUGCAUGACAUUUUUGGAUGUGAAAUUUCAUUUGCGCUGUACAAACCACAACUUUAAAAAUGAGCCUGGAAUAAAUAGAACACAACACUCAAAGAGCAAAGAAAGGAAGAUGGGG
This is a long non-coding RNA of Passer montanus (Eurasian tree sparrow), 1952 nucleotides long. RefSeq lists it as uncharacterized. NCBI's taxonomy places the organism in Eukaryota, Metazoa, Chordata, Aves, Passeriformes, Passeridae. The transcript is spliced from 2 exons. The record is from RefSeq and is a predicted model, not a curated record.